UACGUAGGUGGCAAGCGUUGUCCGGAUUUACUGGGCGUAAAGAGCGCGCAGGCGGUCGUUCAAGUCGCGUGUGAAAGCCCCCGGCUCAACUGGGGAGGGUCACGCGAUACUGCUCGACUCGAAGGUAGGAGAGGGUAGUGGAAUUCCCGGUGUAGUGGUGAAAUGCGUAGAUAUCGGGAGGAACACCAGUGGCGAAGGCGACUACCUGGCCUGUUUCUUGACGCUGAGGCGCGAAAGCUAGGGGAGCAAACGGG
Molecule: ribosomal RNA, 254 nt
Filed under: uncultured bacterium
Lineage: Bacteria
Description: partial 16S ribosomal RNA
Rfam family: Bacterial small subunit ribosomal RNA
Source: RNAcentral